CCUGGCUCUUCUCUUCGUGUGGCCGAGCUGGAAUGGAGGGCACGACCAAGAUUCGUGGCCGCUAGCGGGGUGCAGCCAUGCAGGUCACGCCGCUAUUGGCCGUGGAGAACGUGCCCCGCGCGGAAGUCAUGAUGGGCUCGCCGGAGACGCGCUGGCGGUGGCGCUACUGCGCCUCAAGCGUGUACCAGUGCCCUCUAAGGCGUCGAGACCCGAACGCGGCCGAGGUCUUGGCAGAUGGUGCCGAGCUUAUCAAGGUCGUCGUCGACGGCACUAGACCGCAGGUAGGGGCCCUCCUCGCGGAGCUUCGCUCCUACGACCUACUGUUCGAAUUCGCCACGCCCUAGGUUGCCGAGGUUGCGCCGCUCCAGUUCGCUAUCUUCUCCGUCUUCUUCAUUUGUCACCGUGCCAAUCUCUCAGUCUCAGGUUCCCGGCUUCAUCUACAUGUUCACUAGCUUCAACGGUGAGUCGUGCCUGUAUUGUACGACUGCGCCAUCGCUAACCUCGAGGACAGUGAUGCCCUCGUGAUCAAAACAUGCGUCGUCGUGAAGUGCUCCGGCCCUGAGGAAGCCGUAGCAUGUGGCCGCUACAAGCAGUCCUCGUCGGCAAUACCAUGGCCGACAGAGACAUCCAUCAACAGUCGUCGACCCGGAUGGAGGCUCGAAGUUAACGUGGAAGCGCCCGUGGUCUUCCAUGGUCGUUGCCAGCGCCUCCUUCAUUGCCGCGUCGGCCGUCGGGGGCGGCGAGCGCACAGGGGUCGACCGGAGAAGGGCCACUCCGGGGUUGCGGCCACCAUGCCUAGCGGUGGCAUCUCCAAGGAAGGUGGCGCACCACCACAAGAAUGAACCGAGGGCAGAACUCCACCACCCGACAUCAGGAAGGAGGACACGAGGAGGAAGGCCUAGGAGUUUGACAUGGUAAUGCCCCACAGGUCCUAGAUCGGCCUCACCUGUGUCCAACGCUGGCAACAUGCCACCGUGCCCACCCUCGCCCUGCCAUCCUGUGCGCUCUGCACAACAACGCUAGCCGUGCCUAUGGGGGAAGGGCGUCUAGAGCGUCACCCAAUCGGCGUCGCUGCAUGUGCCUACCACUCCUCGUGGAUGUACCUGAUGCAUCAUUUUGUUUUCCAGCCAUUCACAUUCUUCAGUCUUCAUGUUGAUCUUCAGUUUACCUCUGUACACGUCUGGGUCGAUGCUGCUGCUUUGCGUGAGUUAGUGUGAUGUGGUAUUAAUCUUGGUUUAGUCA
This is a long non-coding RNA of Triticum dicoccoides, 1242 nucleotides long. RefSeq lists it as uncharacterized. The transcript has 2 exons. NCBI's taxonomy places the organism in Eukaryota, Viridiplantae, Streptophyta, Magnoliopsida, Poales, Poaceae. The record is from RefSeq and is a predicted model, not a curated record.